Molecule: long non-coding RNA, 996 nt
Organism: Glossina fuscipes
Lineage: Eukaryota; Metazoa; Arthropoda; Insecta; Diptera; Glossinidae
Exons: 4
Source: RefSeq, a predicted model, not a curated record
UCCACCGCUGAGGCCCAGGGGUAUGGUGUGGUGCACGUGUGGAAGGAGGUAGUGGGACCUUGGAUAGAUACCGACGGACAAAGGAGGGAGCAACAGACGACGUGCCGGACGGACAUCACAAUAUAAACAUAAUUCGUACCAGCAAUAUUGAGUUCAUCUUCAUUCUCGGUAUUAUCACUCGUCUCAUCAAUGUCGUUCGUAUUACUUUCUUCUGAACAAUUGUUCUUACUCCUUUCGAACCUGAAAUGUGGAGACGAUUUAUUGAAAAAUUUUUCAAUGAUACCUUCAGACCGUAAGACGCACUCAAGAUUUGAAUCCCGUUUUCUAUGUAAAGAGGGGCUUCUUAUAGUCCGAAAACUACGAAUUGCGUAGCAGAUUUCGCAUGAUACCAAAGCAAGACUUUGUCUAAACAUUAAAUGUUCUUUACUGUCAACAACUCGAUCGUUUGAAGCUAGUGAUUGACUAGAAGCGGCCAGAUUUCAUCAGGAGAACGCCGGGCUACAAGAGUUAGAGACUCCUCAGAAACUUCAGGAGCUUCGUUAGGAAAUUUUAAUGUGUCCAUCAUGUAGUCCAGACCUGGCACCAAUUACCAUGAGAUACCAUAUAUGGAGAAACAUUAGGUGGAUAGAGAAACAAAAGCUUAAAUUAGGAGAUGAGCACGAUCGGUAUAAUCAAAAGAAUCGUUGAAUCUAUAUAGCGACUGGAUUGUGUUACUGGUAAAAUGUUGGAUGACCUUUCUGCGAAAUAGGUGCCCGAAAUUUGAUUUAAUUCAAAUAUAAAUAAAUUUCAGAGUAUAUUAGCCUUUUUUAAAAGCUUUACAAGUCUUUACGUCAUCACUUAACACUGUCGACUUACCAUUGAAAAACUUGAUGACAUCAGUAAAAUCCAUGCUAUUCGAUAAUAUUAUGUCGCGAUAAGUUUCAAGAAGAGCCAAAGCCAAAAAUAAUACAAAAUGACUGGAAGCUAAUGGUUUGGCAGCCAAAUAAUUUCCUAAUU